UUUACGUAUAGGUAUUUGAUCACGUGAUAUGUUUUUUUUUAAAUGUGAUUGGUUAAUUUUGUAGUGAGGUGGUAUAAUUCACUGUUGCGCCAUAGAAUUUUCAAUCUGUUCAGAAAAUUAACAGACCAAUGUUGUUCGUAGGUGUUAUAGCAGUUGUUCUUAUGAGCCAAGUUUCAGCUACUACCAGUAAGUAUACUGACUAAUAUAAAAACUUAUAAUUCAUACUCAACCAUUUUAUUAAAACAUGUCUAAACGUAAAGAAAUAAAUGAUACUUAUAGCAUCUUUAACAGAAAAGAAACGGAUAUCGCCUUUAUUCGGAAUAUUCGAUACUUCCAUAUAAUCGUCUAUAACUUUUUUAUAAAAUAUACAUACAUAAAUUACUUCCAAAACAGGCGAAUUUGAUAUAAUUUAUUUAAAACCAAAUCUUUUAAACAAUUGAUUUUUUUGCACAAAAUUAAAGCUGAUUGAUAUCUUUGACACACGGAAAAAACAUUUAAUUUUCUUAUCCCAACUUUCGAUAUAGUAAGAGUUAAAUAUAGUUUACUCGGACUUAUGGUGUUAAUGUUGCCCUUUAUAAUUAGGAGGUUUUUUUACGAUUUUGCCGAUAAAAGGAUACAAUUAACUUAUUAUAAGGUAGAUAGGGUGUCUUCCGCCAUCUUGGAUUUUGAAAACCUAGAUACCAGAUUCGGUCUAGAUCUUAAAUGAAAUAUGCAAAUGUCGAGAGUAGAAGGUAAUUCAUAUGUAAGCCUUUUCAUGCCAAUACAGAAAAUGACAUGUUUUUAUCAUCUUUACAGAUGCAUUUAUACCCAUAAUUUUUUUUAAAAAGCAUGAUAUAAACUGAAAUUUGAAAAAUUAUAAAAAAAUUCUAUGGAUUUAAACUUAGAGCCCCAUCUACCUUAAACAUACGUAACUACCCUGGCAGUGUCAUGAUGUAGCAAGGCUAAAAUAAUUACUUUAAUUCCAAAUUUUUAUAGACUAAAUGUUUCUGUUCUUUUAUUUAUCUGAAUUUUUCAUUGUCAUUUACCAUUGGGGUUUGGUAUUUUGUACACUUUUUAGAUACUUUGUAAUUAUAAGAGUUUAGUCCGUUUAUAAUCCUCUGGGUACUGGACGCAUAAGAAAACAAGCUUAUCCUAUCCAACAAAAUUGUGCUAGUCCGUUUUAAGUUGAAGUAUUCUGAUUAUAUUUCAUUAUUUUUUUCUUUGAAAGGUGUUUUUAAGUCUGGUGUCUUUAAUAAAUUGUUAAACUAAAUUCAUUACAACUUACUUAAUAACCUUUUAAACUUUUUAUUUGAAAAUAAUUUGAUAUAUUUGUAUUUGAUUUAAUAACAAAAUAAAGAAAUAAAAAUGUGUAUAAAAUGGAAGUGAAUGUUCAUUAAGGACAAAUCAGAAUGCCACUGUAUUUAAACAAUCAAUACGGUCACCGUCACCGUCUUUAUCAAGAAUCUGAUGUUUAGUAGUUGUCGUUUGUUGAUGUAGUUCGUAAGUGUUAGAUGAGAUUAGACCGUUUGAAUUCCUGUUGAAAUGGUUUUACACUGGCCAUUUCCGGGGGCCCUUUAUAGCUUACUGUUCGAUGUGAGCUCUGUGUUGAAGACCGUACUAUGACACAUAAUGGUUUUCUUUUACAAAUUGCGACUUGGAAAUAGUGUUGUCUCAUUGGCACUCAUACCACAUCUUUUAUAUUUAUUAAUCCUUACUUACAGAACAUUUACAUACUUUGUAUUUAAUUUAAUGCCACUGUAUUCAAACAAUGCCGUCUGUGUCCUUACUUAUAGAAUAUUUCCGUUUUUCUUUUCAGAUUGUGAACAAUUCUGCAAACAUCUGAGU
This 1824-nucleotide long non-coding RNA is filed under the name Mytilus galloprovincialis (Mediterranean mussel). The record is from RNAcentral. Lineage: Eukaryota; Metazoa; Mollusca; Bivalvia; Mytilida; Mytilidae.